RNAcentral lists this small nuclear RNA (252 nucleotides) under Fukomys damarensis (Damara mole-rat). RNAcentral's name for it is "7SK RNA". The stretch from base 1 to 108 matches the Rfam family "7SK RNA", at positions 1 to 108 of the family's 331-position model. The record is from Rfam by way of RNAcentral. Lineage: Eukaryota; Metazoa; Chordata; Mammalia; Rodentia; Bathyergidae.
GGAUAUGGGGACAGUGUGGCUGUGACAGCUGUCACCACACUGAUGGCCAGAUCAGGUUGGCUGAUCCGCUAGGCUGGGCGGUGUCCCCUCACCACUGCAGGCAGCUCCUGCAGCUUGGUUAACGAGGGCGACUUUGCCCAGGAGAGGAAGGCUGCGCUUCUAUGCUAGAGCCUACGAGAAGGCCUGUGCCCUGGUGGUCAGCUGCAUGUGUGCAGCACUCAGUCCUGAAAGGCUGCCUCGCAGCCUGGAUUG